UCAAGGUGUAGAUUUCCGCUCCAAAAAUUCGUUCAGCUUUCAGUCUCGCUGACCCCCUGCUCCUUUUUUUUUUGUUAGGGUUUUCUGUUUCUUGCUUAACCUGUGCUUCUGUGGGUUACGAUUUGGCAAUGGAAGUCGCUUCGCUCUCGAUGACCUCAGGACGCUAUCUGCUCUCUCCUUCAGCAGAAUCUCUGUUGCUUAAGAGGUUUAAACUUCCUUUACGGCAUCAAUGUUCACCAUCCGUUUCAUUAAGACGCACUGGGCCUCUAGUUUACAAGGAAAACUCUAUCAAGGUUUUAUGCAGCCUAAAGAAGGAAAUUUCCAUCAUAGAGGCCAGUUCUAUGGAUGAGAUAUAUGAUGCUUUAGCUGUGCGCCUUCUUCCUACUGCAGCGGCAGCAUCAAACCCUAAUCUGAAACACAUUGUAGGGUUGGCUGGUCCUCCUGGUGCUGGAAAGAGCACCUUAGCUUCUGAGGUAGUGCGACGCGUAAAUGAGUUGUGGCCCCAAAAAGGUCCUUCAUUUGAUUCUCAUGUUAAGCCUCCUGAUGUUGCUGCAGUUCUUCCCAUGGAUGGAUUCCAUCUAUAUCGUUCCCAGCUUGAUGCAAUGGAGAAUCCAGAGGAAGCCCAUGCAAGAAGGGGAGCUCCCUGGACAUUUUCUCCAACUCUAUUACUUGAAUGUCUAAAGAAAUUGAGGGAUGAGGGAUCAGUCUAUGCACCAUCAUUUGAUCAUGGUCUUGGAGAUCCUGUUGAAGAUGAUAUCUUUGUGAGCCUUCAGCAUAAAGUGGUCAUUGUCGAAGGGAACUACCUGUUGUUGGAAGAAGAAGUUUGGAAGGACUUGUCAUCUAUGUUUGAUGAGAAGUGAGUCUAAAGCCAGAAGCCUAGUCUUUGUACAUUGGAUGGUGAAUAUCUCUAUUUGUAUGGUUUGAGAUUCUGCUGCUGUGUGCUUUUACCUUGCAAUUUCAUAGUUGUUAAAUUGAGAAUCGAAUCAAGAAUCGAAAUCUUCAUUUUGUGAGUCGAGAAUUGAAUUGCAAGAUUCAGAAAAAAUUUUAAAUAUUAAAAAUAAGGUAUGUUCUAAAAAAUAAGUGUAAAGAUAUCAUAAUUACAUAUUAUAAUAAAUAUAGAAUUAUCAUCUGUCUAACUAAAAAUAUGUUCUAUAAUAGAAUAAUAUAUUUUGAUUAUAUUAUAUAGUUUUAUAUUAUAAAUUAAGAAUUCUUGAAUUAUAUAUAAUGAUCACCAUUAUGUGUGUGCUGAAACUCUCAUUUAAAUUUUAUCAAAUAAUUAAAUAAUAAAAAAGGAUAGCAUUUUACAUUAAAAGAUUACAAUAUAUUAAUAUAAAAUGUUAUAACUUGACAACUAUAAUUAGAGAAGUAAAAAACUUUGAAAAAUAAAAGGAAGAAAAAGAAGAGGGAAAGGGAAAAGAAUAGGUAAUAGAAGAAAAAUAAGGAAAAAGGUUUAUGUGCACUUGUUAUAGCAAAAAUGACUGAAUUCUGAAACUAAUAACCUUUUAAAAACUAAUCCCUUGAAUCAAGUGAAGACUCGAACGUUUUAUAUUGUUUCCUUUGAUUCACUAUUGAUUCUUUCAAUUUAGUCAUAUUUCAGAUACAUUUGCGAUUUGCACCAUAGAUACAAAUUGCUAAGAUGUGGAAUUGAAUCGAAUCAAGAAUCAUAAUAUUUGAAUCAAGAAUCAUAGGAUUCAAGUACCUUUAAGAUUCACCCAAUAGAUUCAAAUCGAUAUUGUGGGAAAUAGAUUUGAAUCAAGAAUCGUAAGAUUCUAACAACAGUGUGCAAUUUAGAAUUAGAUUAGUGUUUCAAAAUCUCAUACAUCAAUUUACUGCAUUGAAGUAAUGCACAGAGAGUGCAUCAGGCUAUCUUCUUUGAGCAUUAUUUAUAUGCGACUAUCACCCAAUGACAUUGGCCUUGCUAGAACUAAAUUUAAUUUAAACAGAGUAGAUAUUAUAUUUGUAAUGUUUCUUUAUUUUUCAGUUUUCCCGUGAGAUAUAUGCGCCUUAUCAUCCCAUGAGAUUGGCCUUGCUAGAACUAAAUUUAAUUUAGAUAUCUUUAUGAAUUCACUUCAAUUCUUUUCUCCAUCUUCCAUAUUUUGUACCACCUUCACAGAAAGUCUUAAUCAUCUUUCUUUUGUUUUGGAAACUUGGAUUUUGGUUUUUGUGUUCUGACAGUUUGAAUAAUCAGUAACUGGUUCAAUGAGUUCAGUUGAAUUUUGUUAUGCUAUGAAGGUUUAUUGAUAUUGACAUCGACAAGGCAAUGAAACGAGUUUUAAAGAGACAUAUUUCAACAGGCAAACCAGCUGAUGUUGCUAAAUGGCGGGUAGACUAUAAUGACCGGCCGAAUGCAGAACUUAUAAUGAAGUCAAAGAAAAAUGCCGACUUAGUAAUCAGGUCUAUUGAUUUCUAAAAUAGUUCUGCAUACAAUAAUACUGGAGAAAUGAGAAUGGUCAGUUGAGUUUGCUUUACUUUAAAUAAAACAACUCUUUUCUCUCCGACUAAAAUGAAAAGAGUCUGUUAAUGUUUUAGUUCCCAUGAUUGUUUUACAGAAAAAAAUUUCAUUAUUGUGAUCCUGGUCUUUUUAGCAUAUGAUUUUGGAGACAGGAAACAACUAUUUAAUUGAUGAGCUCUUCUGAAUCUAGAAUAAAUUUGUGGUGAUCAAGAUUUGGUCAUCAUAAUUCCA
RNA transcript from Manihot esculenta (cassava), 2683 nucleotides. It is a transcript of the gene named putative uridine kinase C227.14, with no coding region annotated. Lineage: Eukaryota; Viridiplantae; Streptophyta; Magnoliopsida; Malpighiales; Euphorbiaceae. The record is from RefSeq and is a predicted model, not a curated record. The transcript has 12 exons.